CGGCGGUGCUUUCCGGAGAGGAAGGAGAGCUCAAAACAGAGGACUCGUGACGGGGUUUCGGACAGCUCGGCCGGGAGGGAACGCCGGACCAAGGAGAGGAGGAGGAGGGAAGGAGGGAAGAGGAGGAGGAGGAGACGGAGGAGAGGGAGGGCUUGGAGAUAGUCUCAGGAGGAGGAGGGAAGGAGGGAAGAGGAGGAGGAGGAGACGGAGGAGAGGGAGGGCUCGGAGAUAGUCUUAGGAGGAGGAGGAAAGGGUCUUUAUAGCCCUAUGGUAAUGGCUCUCCGCCGCGUGAAUCACGGCGGCCAAGCGAGAUCAGCGGC
RNAcentral lists this long non-coding RNA (320 nucleotides) under Phoenix dactylifera (date palm). Its description in RNAcentral is "long non-coding RNA (PDAC_LNC008141)". The record is from RNAcentral. Lineage: Eukaryota; Viridiplantae; Streptophyta; Magnoliopsida; Arecales; Arecaceae.